GCCGGGUGUGGUGGUUCACGCCUGUAAUCCCAGAGGCUUGGGAGGCUGAGGCAGGAGAAUCGGGAGUUCAAAGCCAGCCUCACAAAAAGUGAGGUGCUAAGCAACUAAGUGAGACCCUGUCUCUA
RNAcentral lists this small RNA (125 nucleotides) under Marmota monax (woodchuck). The record is from RNAcentral. Lineage: Eukaryota; Metazoa; Chordata; Mammalia; Rodentia; Sciuridae.